RNAcentral lists this ribosomal RNA (431 nucleotides) under uncultured soil bacterium. RNAcentral's name for it is "bacterial SSU rRNA". It matches the Rfam family "Bacterial small subunit ribosomal RNA", at positions 26 to 445 of the family's 1533-position model. The record is from RNAcentral.
AGAGUGAACGCUGGCGGUAGGCCUAACACAUGCAAGUCGAACGGCAGCACAGUAGGAGCUUGCUCUUACGGGUGGCGAGUGGCGGACGGGUGAGGAAUACAUCGGAAUCUACCUUUUGGCGGGGGAUAACGUAGGGAAACUUACGCUAAUACCGCAUACGCCCUUCGGGGGAAAGCCGGGGACCAGCAAUGGCCUGGUGCUGAUAGAUGAGCCGAUGUCGGAUUAGCUAGUUGGUGAGGUAAUGGCUCACCAAGGCGACGAUCCGUAGCUGGUCUGAGAGGAUGAUCAGCCACACUGGAACUGAGACACGGUCCAGACUCCUACGGGAGGCAGCAGUGGGAAUAGUAGGACAAGUGGCGCAAGCCUGAUCCAGCCAGUUACCGCGGUGGUAGAAGAAGGCCGUUAGGUUAGUAAACGCCGUUUGUUAGGAA